This 746-nucleotide long non-coding RNA is filed under the name Microcebus murinus (gray mouse lemur). Its description in RNAcentral is "lncRNA (ENSMICG00000048681.1)". The record is from RNAcentral. Lineage: Eukaryota; Metazoa; Chordata; Mammalia; Primates; Cheirogaleidae.
CUUUGCCACAUUUCUCUUUUCUGUUUGGAUAAUUGCAUUGUCAAGAAUUACUUAUCAUACGUUUAGCAUUUAAUACCUAUUUAUUAUGAGUUCAUGUAACUGCUAUUUAAAGAAUAAUCUGCGCUAACUCCUUUCCACCCUAUUUGAUGCCACUCUGAUUCUAUAAUUGCUGGUUUCUGCGAUAUUAUGCCACAAAACCUGAAAGCAUAAUUGGUUGUUUCAUUCCAGACAAUACGUUUCCAAGAUGCUGAGAGCUUAACUGGCAGGUGGAAGCUCGAGCAAAGGCGUCAGGCGCGCUCACUCGCGCAGGCCGGCCUCGCAGGGUGCUGACGAGGAUUCGACAUUCACCAGGGAAACGUCUCCUGAAUCCACCGGAACUGCGAGAUUUCAUCAUCGCGCAUCCUGCGUGCACCUACCCGGCACAGAGCACUGUGCCAGCCCCAGGACGUGAGGGUCUCGGCCUGGCGAGGCCGAUGGGGACAGCAGCACAGCGUUGAGCCCAGGAGAUGUAUUCUCUUAUUGCCACUUUACCACUGAGAAAACUGAGGCUCAGAGCAGGUAAGUAACUUGGGCAGAUGGCCAGCUCUCAUCCUCCAUCAAAAUAAACUUCCUUUUUAAUGGAAGACUAUUUUUUUAGUAUUACUUUUUAAUAAUGCAGUAAUGCAUGAAUACUGUUCUCCUUGUAGAACAUGAUUCCACAUUACAGACAAGGCUGCCUUCACUGGAUCACAGCCCUAAUCCCGUGC